AUGUUGGUUCAUGUGUUUAACUCAGGCACAGUUCCAGUGUGGUUGUUUCUUCAACAGGUGCACUGUUCCUUCCAAUGGGGCCUGUCGUGGGCCUGCAGGUGCCUCGGCCUCACCUCCGACCUACUGCAGCAGAGCAAAGAAAUGUUUGUCUCAAAGAGGGUCCUGGUGAUCCUGUGUACACUAAAAUUUGGGACCUCCUGCUCUGAGGACUCCAGGGCCUCCAUUCUGCUAGGACCAGGUCCCAUUGCAGAUCCGAUUUCUGGGUGGAUUGAUUGCAUUUCUUCCCCUGGUCACUUCACACGUGACUCGGGAGAAAUUAACAUCAUCCCUGUCACAGCGGAAGAGAUGAAUGCAUUGACAGUGAGUACAUUGCGGCGAAUUGAGUGAAAACUUUGUCUGAUUAAACUUGUAUCUGUAAUAUCAGAACACGAAGACACACUCAUAACCUGUCUCUUUUUCUCAGUCUUCC
RNAcentral lists this long non-coding RNA (469 nucleotides) under Canis lupus familiaris (dog). RNAcentral describes it as "lncRNA (ENSCAFG00030004253.1)". The record is from RNAcentral. Lineage: Eukaryota; Metazoa; Chordata; Mammalia; Carnivora; Canidae.